RNAcentral lists this unclassified non-coding RNA (353 nucleotides) under soil metagenome. Its description in RNAcentral is "partial contains 5.8S ribosomal RNA, internal transcribed spacer 2, and large subunit ribosomal RNA". The stretch from base 1 to 120 matches the Rfam family "5.8S ribosomal RNA", at positions 35 to 154 of the family's 154-position model. The record is from RNAcentral.
GAUGAAGAACGUAGCGAAAUGCGAUAAGUAAUGUGAAUUGCAGAAUUCAGUGAAUCAUCGAAUCUUUGAACGCACAUUGCGCCCGCCAGUAUUCUGGCGGGCAUGCCUGUUCGAGCGUCAUUACAACCCUCAGGCCCCCGGGCCUGGCGUUGGGGAUCGGCGGAAGCCCCCUGCGGGCACAACGCCGUCCCCCAAAUACAGUGGCGGUCCCGCCGCAGCUUCCAUUGCGUAGUAGCUAACACCUCGCAACUGGAGAGCGGCGCGGCCACGCCGUAAAACACCCAACUUCUGAAUGUCGACCUCGAAUCAGGUAGGAAUACCCGCUGAACUUAAGCAUAUCAAUAAGCGGAGGA